Triticum aestivum (bread wheat) is the source of this 135-nucleotide non-coding RNA. Lineage: Eukaryota; Viridiplantae; Streptophyta; Magnoliopsida; Poales; Poaceae. The record is from Rfam.
AUGAUACUCCCUCCGUCCGAAAAUACUUGUCAUCAAAAUGGAUAAAAGGAGAUGUAUCUAGACGUAUUUUAGUUCUAAAUACAUCGCAUUUUAUCCAUUUUGAUGACAAGUAUUUUCGAACGGAGGGAGUAUAUA